Molecule: transfer RNA, 71 nt
Filed under: Bos taurus (domestic cattle)
Lineage: Eukaryota; Metazoa; Chordata; Mammalia; Artiodactyla; Bovidae
Also listed under: 4 other names
Rfam family: tRNA
About the family: Transfer RNA (tRNA) molecules are approximately 80 nucleotides in length. Their secondary structure includes four short double-helical elements and three loops (D, anti-codon, and T loops). Further hydrogen bonds mediate the characteristic L-shaped molecular structure. tRNAs have two regions of fundamental functional importance: the anti-codon, which is responsible for specific mRNA codon recognition, and the 3' end, to which the tRNAs corresponding amino acid is attached (by aminoacyl-tRNA synthetases). tRNAs cope with the degeneracy of the genetic code in two manners: having more than one tRNA (with a specific anti-codon) for a particular amino acid; and 'wobble' base-pairing, i.e. permitting non-standard base-pairing at the 3rd anti-codon position.
Source: Rfam by way of RNAcentral
UCCUUGUGAUUUAGAUGGUAAAGAAUCUGCCUCCAAAGCAGGAGUCCCAGGUUCGAUCCCUGCAUCAGGAG